ACUUUCUACAAUAUAUUCUUUCAGACAAGAAAGUCAAAUAUAAAAAUGAACACAAAAGUAGCCAUUUGUCUGAUCCUUCCCUGCAUCAUUGCAUUGGUUUCCUGUGCUUAUUAUCCUGGAUACUCUGGAUACCAACAACCAAGACAGGUGGCUCCCUAUGCAAACUAUGCUGCCAAUAGUUACCAGUCUCUGAAACAGGCUAGACUCUUUAACUACCUUCUCGGAGGAUUAUUCUUCUUAAACCUAUUCAACGUUACUGGAAACAGAAUUGCUGGUUAGAGAACAUUUUUAUGGGCAUACGAGGUUGACAUGCAGAACCUUGUUCAUUCAUAGACAAAAAAAACGUGUGUCAUUAUGUUGGACAUCUUACAUCAGAUUAGACGGAUUUAUGCAACCAUCAUAGCAUAAUCUCAAUUGAAUCAGAAACAGAACACUUCAGUAUUGGUGAACAUCUAUCAUUUCAAAGAUUUUUUAUCCAUAUUAAAAAUUGUCUGUACUUUA
Mytilus californianus (California mussel) is the source of this 501-nucleotide long non-coding RNA. RefSeq lists it as uncharacterized. The transcript is spliced from 3 exons. The record is from RefSeq and is a predicted model, not a curated record. NCBI's taxonomy places the organism in Eukaryota, Metazoa, Mollusca, Bivalvia, Mytilida, Mytilidae.